RNAcentral lists this ribosomal RNA (376 nucleotides) under uncultured bacterium. RNAcentral describes it as "bacterial SSU rRNA". It matches the Rfam family "Bacterial small subunit ribosomal RNA", at positions 524 to 898 of the family's 1533-position model. The record is from RNAcentral.
UACGGAGGGUGCGAGCGUUGUCCGGAAUCACUGGGCGUAAAGGGCGCGUAGGCGGCCGUGUAAGUCACUUGUGAAAUCCCGGGGCUCAACUCCGGGGCUGCAGGUGAGACUGCAUGGCUAGAGCACGGUAGAGGCGAGUGGAAUUCCCGGUGUAGCGGUGGAAUGCGUAGAUAUCGGGAAGAACACCGGUGGCGAAGGCGGCUCGCUGGGCCGUUGCUGACGCUGAGGCGCGAAAGCGUGGGGAGCAAACAGGAUUAGAUACCCUGGUAGUCCACGCCGUAAACGAUGGGUACUAGGCGUCGGGGGGAGCGACCCUCCCGGUGCCGUCGCUAACGCAGUAAGUACCCCGCCUGGGGAGUACGGUCGCAAGACUGAA